RNAcentral lists this long non-coding RNA (725 nucleotides) under Nicotiana benthamiana. RNAcentral describes it as "long non-coding RNA (NBEN_LNC014009)". Lineage: Eukaryota; Viridiplantae; Streptophyta; Magnoliopsida; Solanales; Solanaceae. The record is from RNAcentral.
CAAACCAUUACUUGGAAUUUCCAACACAUUUAGAUGUAAAUCAAUGUUGGGUCAACACUAAUCCUAGCAGAAAACUAAACAGAAAAUUGAAUGAGUUUUUACAACAGCUUAAAAUCAUCCAUUCCUACAAGCACAUAACUCGAACUCAUCUACACUAGUUGACUAAAGCUCAUAGUUCAUCCAAAGUUACAAACCAAGUUAAGGAUGAAACAGAAUGUAACUAGUAAAACCAAGCCAAUAUUAAAAUCUGAUUGAUUUUUAGAAAUAUAAGACACUAUAUUUACAAGCUAAUUUGGCAGCUUGCAGUUCAAUUGAAAAAACUCUUGUUCUUCCAUUUCACAUGUCAAAGGAAUGGGAGAUACCUGGAAAUUGAAAGAAAACAGUAGAAGUGAGAAAUUAGUGGCCAAAUAGCAGUAGAACAACAGUAAAACUAGACACAGCAACAAGAAAUAAUAUCAAAACCCAUCUCAAAUCAAUAGUGAUACAUAGCAAACCCAAACCCCAAUUUCAAAACAGAUUCAAACCAUUUCUUAACCCCAAAAAUAUGAUUAUGGAGUUCUUCAAAGGUUUUAGCUAACAGAAGACUCAAAAUCCAAACUCAAAAUAGAAUUUUUAUUAGUUUUCAACAAUGGAACUCAGAAUUUUCAAAGAAACUCAACCAUUAAAGCUUUUCAGGAUUUUUUUUUCUAGCCAUUACAACUUUUCAGGAAUUUUUUUUCUCUUUC